RNAcentral lists this transfer RNA (85 nucleotides) under Thiohalorhabdus denitrificans. It matches the Rfam family "tRNA". Rfam says of the family: Transfer RNA (tRNA) molecules are approximately 80 nucleotides in length. Their secondary structure includes four short double-helical elements and three loops (D, anti-codon, and T loops). Further hydrogen bonds mediate the characteristic L-shaped molecular structure. tRNAs have two regions of fundamental functional importance: the anti-codon, which is responsible for specific mRNA codon recognition, and the 3' end, to which the tRNAs corresponding amino acid is attached (by aminoacyl-tRNA synthetases). tRNAs cope with the degeneracy of the genetic code in two manners: having more than one tRNA (with a specific anti-codon) for a particular amino acid; and 'wobble' base-pairing, i.e. permitting non-standard base-pairing at the 3rd anti-codon position. The record is from Rfam by way of RNAcentral. Lineage: Bacteria; Pseudomonadati; Pseudomonadota; Gammaproteobacteria; Thiohalorhabdales; Thiohalorhabdaceae.
GCGCGGGUGGCGGAAUUCGGUAGACGCGCUAGAUUCAGGAUCUAGUGGCCGCAAGGCCGUGUGGGUUCAAGUCCCACCCCGCGCA